This 279-nucleotide unclassified non-coding RNA is filed under the name Hevea brasiliensis (rubber tree). Lineage: Eukaryota; Viridiplantae; Streptophyta; Magnoliopsida; Malpighiales; Euphorbiaceae. The record is from RNAcentral.
CGUAAUUCAGCCACUGAACUCGGUGGCGGCUCACUGAGUCUUCCUCGUCGGAAACGAGUCCACAGCCAUGGGAGAACCAGAACAUGAACAACAGCAUCAAAAUGAGCAGAAAGAGUUCGCUGACGGUGGAAAGAGAAAGCUGGACGCUUUCGAACUCGCCAAACAGAGAGCUCAAGAAAUUGCGUCUCGAAUUGCUAGUGACGCUGAUCCGAAACGCCCUCGAAUCGUCACUGAAAACUCGUCAGAGCCUUCAUUUUCCUCAAGUUCUGUGUCUGCCCC